UCGGAUUGUAGUCUGCAACCCGACUACAUGAAGCUGGAAUCGCUAGUAAUCGCGGAUCAGCAUGCCGCGGUGAAUACGUUCCCGGGCCUUGUACACACCGCCCGUCACACCAUGAGAGUCGGGAACACCCGAAGUCCGUAGUCUAACCGCAAGGGGACGCGGCCGAAGGUGGGUUCGAUAAUUGGGGUGAAGUCGUAACAAGGUAGC
This 207-nucleotide ribosomal RNA is filed under the name uncultured bacterium. RNAcentral's name for it is "partial 16S ribosomal RNA". It matches the Rfam family "Bacterial small subunit ribosomal RNA", at positions 1293 to 1500 of the family's 1533-position model. The record is from RNAcentral.